RNAcentral lists this transfer RNA (72 nucleotides) under Mixia osmundae IAM 14324. It matches the Rfam family "tRNA". From Rfam's summary of the family: Transfer RNA (tRNA) molecules are approximately 80 nucleotides in length. Their secondary structure includes four short double-helical elements and three loops (D, anti-codon, and T loops). Lineage: Eukaryota; Fungi; Basidiomycota; Mixiomycetes; Mixiales; Mixiaceae. The record is from Rfam by way of RNAcentral.
AAGAGCAUGAUGUAGCGGUAGCAUCCCAAUCUUCAAAAUUGUGUAGGGCUAGUUCAAAUCUGGCUGCUCUUG